RNAcentral lists this ribosomal RNA (497 nucleotides) under uncultured bacterium. Its description in RNAcentral is "partial 16S ribosomal RNA". It matches the Rfam family "Bacterial small subunit ribosomal RNA", at positions 28 to 507 of the family's 1533-position model. The record is from RNAcentral.
GAUGAACGCUGGCGGCGUGCCUAAUACAUGCAAGUCGAACGAACAGGCGAGGAGCUUGCUCUUCUUAGAUGAGCGGCGGACGGGUGAGUAACGCGUAGAUAACCUGCCUAUAAGAGUGGGAUAACUACGGGAAACGGGAGCUAAUACCGCAUAAUAUUUGGAACCGCAUGGUUCAUAAGUGAAAGACGGUCUUGCUGUAACUCAUAGAGGGACCCCCUCUGCUUUAGCAGGUGGGUAGGGUAAGGGCCAACCAAGGCAACGUUGCUUACCCGCCCUGGGGGGUUGUUGGCCCCCCCGGGACCGGGGCCCGGGCCCAGCCUCCUAGGGGAGGCGCCGGUGGGGAAUCUUCGGCAAUGGGCGAAAGCCUGACGGAGCACGGCGGCGUGGGUGAUGAGGGUCUUCGGUCGGUAAGACCCGUUGUUUGGGGAAGAAGAGAUUGGGAAGGGACUGUGCACAUCGUGACGGUAGCUAAUCAGAAAGCCACGGCUAACUACGUG